GUUUGAAUUUUUUACCAAUACAAAUUUUCAAUGAUUUGUUUAUAUGUUUGAUGUCCAACACAUGAUUUCCUUGUAUAAAGAGUAAUAGUAAGCAAUGUUAUUUUACCCCAUCAAAAGGCAAUCUUUCCUUCAAUGGGGCUACGUUUUGAGUUUUCGCCAACACAAACUUUCAAUGAUUGCCUUGCAUAUUUGCUUUCCAGUCCAUAAUUUCCUUUUUAGCUAAUGAUUUCCUUAUUUCUUGACUCUAGAGUAAUAAUAAGCAAUCUUAUAUUCCCCCCCCCCC
Molecule: unclassified non-coding RNA, 283 nt
Filed under: Hevea brasiliensis (rubber tree)
Lineage: Eukaryota; Viridiplantae; Streptophyta; Magnoliopsida; Malpighiales; Euphorbiaceae
Source: RNAcentral